CGGUGGAUGGGGCUCGAGCGAACUGAUUAGAAGCUUGCUUCUAUGACGUUAGCGGCGGACGGGUGAGUAACACGUGGGCAACCUGCCUGUAAGACUGGGAUAACUUCGGGAAACCGAAGCUAAUACCGGAUAGGAUCUUCUCCUUCAUGGGAGAUGAUUGAAAGAUGGUUUCGGCUAUCACUUACAGAUGGGCCCGCGGUGCAUUAGCUAGUUGGUGAGGUAACGGCUCACCAAGGCAACGAUGCAUAGCCGACCUGAGAGGGUGAUCGGCCACACUGGGACUGAGACACGGCCCAGACUCCUACGGGAGGCAGCAGUAGGGAAUCUUCCGCAAUGGACGAAAGUCUGACGGAGCAACGCCGCGUGAGUGAUGAAGGCUUUCGGGUCGUAAAACUCUGUUGUUAGGGAAGAACAAGUACAAGAGUAACUGCUCGUACCUUGACGGUACCUAACCAGAAAGCCACGGCUAACUACGUGCCAGCAGCCGCGGUAAUACGUAGGUGGCAAGCGUUAUCCGGAAUUAUUGGGCGUAAAGCGCGCGCAGGCGGUUUCUUAAGUCUGAUGUGAAAGCCCACGGCUCAACCGUGGAGGGUCAUUGGAAACUGGGGAACUUGAGUGCAGAAGAGAAAAGCGGAAUUCCACGUGUAGCGGUGAAAUGCGUAGAGAUGUGGAGGAACACCAGUGGCGAAGGCGGCUUUUUGGUCUGUAACUGACGCUGAGGCGCGAAAGCGUGGGGAGCAAACAGGAUUAGAUACCCUGGUAGUCCACGCCGUAAACGAUGAGUGCUAAGUGUUAGAGGGUUUCCGCCCUUUAGUGCUGCAGCUAACGCAUUAAGCACUCCGCCUGGGGAGUACGGUCGCAAGACUGAAACUCAAAGGAAUUGACGGGGGCCCGCACAAGCGGUGGAGCAUGUGGGUUUAAUUCGAAGCAACGCGAAGAACCUUACCAGGUCUUGACAUCCUCUGACAACUCUAGAGAUAGAGCGUUCCCCUUCGGGGGACAGAGUGACAAGGUGGUGCAUGGAUUGUCGUCAGCUCGUGUCGUGAGAAUGUUGGGGUUAAGUUCCCCGCAAACGA
RNAcentral lists this ribosomal RNA (1076 nucleotides) under Bacillus sp. (in: firmicutes). RNAcentral describes it as "bacterial SSU rRNA". It matches the Rfam family "Bacterial small subunit ribosomal RNA", at positions 49 to 1095 of the family's 1533-position model. The record is from RNAcentral. Lineage: Bacteria; Bacillati; Bacillota; Bacilli; Caryophanales; Bacillaceae.